Molecule: ribosomal RNA, 512 nt
Filed under: Bifidobacterium bifidum
Lineage: Bacteria; Bacillati; Actinomycetota; Actinomycetes; Bifidobacteriales; Bifidobacteriaceae
Description: bacterial SSU rRNA
Rfam family: Bacterial small subunit ribosomal RNA
Source: RNAcentral
AAUGCCGGAUGUUCCACAUGAUCGCAUGUGAUUGUGGGAAAGAUUUUAUCGGCGUGGGAUGGGGUCGCGUCCUAUCAGCUUGUUGGUGAGGUAACGGCUCACCAAGGCUUCGACGGGUAGCCGGCCUGAGAGGGCGACCGGCCACAUUGGGACUGAGAUACGGCCCAGACUCCUACGGGAGGCAGCAGUGGGGAAUAUUGCACAAUGGGCGCAAGCCUGAUGCAGCGACGCCGCGUGAGGGAUGGAGGCCUUCGGGUUGUAAACCUCUUUUGUUUGGGAGCAAGCCUUCGGGUGAGUGUACCUUUCGAAUAAGCGCCGGCUAACUACGUGCCAGCAGCCGCGGUAAUACGUAGGGCGCAAGCGUUAUCCGGAUUUAUUGGGCGUAAAGGGCUCGUAGGCGGCUCGUCGCGUCCGGUGUGAAAGUCCAUCGCUUAACGGUGGAUCUGCGCCGGGUACGGGCGGGCUGGAGUGCGGUAGGGGAGACUGGAAUUCCCGGUGUAACGGUGGAAUGU